AGAAUCAACGCUGGCGGCGUGCCUAACACAUGCAAGUCGAACGAGAAAGGGGUAGCAAUACCCUGAGUAAAGUGGCGCACGGGUGAGUAACACGUGACUAACCUACCCUUGAGUGGGGGAUAACUGAGGGAAACCUUAGCUAAUACCGCAUAAUACCCACGGGUCAAAGGAGCAAUUCGCUCGAGGAGGGGGUCGCGGCCGAUUAGUUAGUUGGCGGGGUAAUGGCCCACCAAGACGAUGAUCGGUAUCCGGCCUGAGAGGGCGCACGGACACACUGGAACUGAAACACGGUCCAGACUCCUACGGGAGGCAGCAGUGGGGAAUUUUGCGCAAUGGGGGAAACCCUGACGCAGCAACGCCGCGUGGAGGAUGAAGUCCUUCGGGACGGUAAACUCCUUUCGAUCGGGACGAUUAUGACGGUACCGGAAGAAGAAGCCCGGCUAACUUCGCGCCAGCAGCCGC
Molecule: ribosomal RNA, 462 nt
Filed under: uncultured bacterium
Lineage: Bacteria
Description: SSU rRNA
Rfam family: Bacterial small subunit ribosomal RNA
Source: RNAcentral